AAUGGGUCGAGAUCCUGUUACUCUGUAGUUGAAGACUCUUGAGGAAUUUUCACACUGAAAAAGCCCUACAUGAUAAGGUAUAUAGACAACAAAUCAGAUGGAGGCAAGUAAUAUUCACCUUAAUCAGCUUUGAAGGAGACUAAGAACCUCUAUGAAAGUUAGAGUGAGAGAGAUAUGGGGUGACUAGAAAUGAACAAUUAUGGUUGCAAUUUAUAGAGAAGGGGAAAGCAUACAUUAAAUAAAAAAGGAAAAGCGAUUUCUAAAAAGAGAAAGAGAUACAAGCAACGUGAUCGCCUGCUUUUCUAAUUAUUCAAGUGGCAAGUCAUUUAUUUGGAUUUUCGUCAAAUAUUUAAUAUAAUUGGUAGCCGCAAAACAACAGCUUUUAUUUAAUUGAUUUUUUUUUGUCAAACCGUUUUCAAUAAUUAAAAAUAAAGUAAAAAGUACAAGCUAUGAUAUACAUAUCAUAUUUUGACGAAAUCAAUAUAAAGAGAACUUGUCAUAUAUGUUUAUAGUUAUACCAGUGCAACCCAUGCUGGUUCAUAUAUUUUAACCAUAUCACGACACGCGAUCAACAUAUAAAUAAAUAAUAAUUUACACCUAAAAACUUCUAAUUUUACGUUUAUAUCUUUAAUUUUUUUAAUCUUUCAACUUGGAAUAUGUACAUCGAUCUGUAGAAAUCUUAUAGCUUAGCAAUUGAGUAAACAAUUUAUUAAUACUUCUACCUUACAUUAAGAAGUCGGGAAUUCCAUAUAUUUCCAAAAGUACAAAUUCGAAGAUUAACGAAACUAGAUUAACAAAACUUAUAAUUGUUCGUAAUAUCUAACAUAUAUAUCAUAACUUUUGUGGAAUAGAUGAAAUUUAAAAAAUAAAUCAAAUCAAAUUAUAAAAUUUGAUAUUGAAUAUUUAGAUUUCUGAAAAUAUAUUAUUUGACUUGACCAAGAUGUGUGCUUUCUAAUAAUAAAAAUUAUAUUUUAUUGGGUUUUUUGUCGGCUAAUUCUUGCAUUGAUAUUCCAAAUCAUAACGUUGUUUACUACAGUUUGAAGGAAAUUUGACCAAGCAUAAAAGGAUAUGAGAAAAAAAUUUCUAGCUAAUAUGUAUGCCCUAUUUACUGAAAGAACAAUCGCUAAAAACUUAAGGAAAUUAACUUAAUCAGCACACAAAAUUAAGUAAUAUGAUCAGAAGCAUGUAAACUUUUCUUUAAUUACUACCAUUUUUAAAUAUCCAGCUUGCCCUUUUUAAAUAUCAAAUUAAAGAUGACAUUUGCAAUCAUUUUUGUUUGCACUCCCUUUUUAAUUCAGUACUAGAAGAUAACCCGCGCACAUGCGCAAGGUAAGUUUUUAUAAUAAUAUUUAUUUAUUAAAUGAUUUUAACAUUUUGUAACAUUAUAAUUUUUAUCGGCUAUAAAAUGACAAAUACAAAUGUUCGUCUCUUAACUAUAUUAUAGUUUAAUUAUUUUAAGAUUUUUUAUGCACAAAAAGAAAUUAAGUUUUACGGCGGACACAAAUCACCAAAAUCAAAUAGGCAGCAUUGAUUGUAUAAUAACACAAAAAGAAUUAAGUUUUAUGCCCUUCAUUUGUUUACUAUUGACUCUCAAUAAGUGAUUUUAUUUUCUAACUCUAUACAAUUGUAUUUAAGUUCUCGUCUUUGUUUCAUUGAUAUUUGUUAAGUUUUUUUUUUUAAUUUUCUAUGAAUUCGGUGAAUUACAUAAGUGUCAAUUUUGGUUUUAAAAAAUGGACAUUUGCAAAAAUUAAUUUCACUCAAGAUACAUAUCUAAGAAUCAAAAUUUUGAAAAAAAAACCACCGGCAAACUAUAUUAACAGGUUAGUGUUCAAAUCAGCUGUUAUAGAAUAUAAGUGCAUACUCGAAAUAUAAAUGUUUGUCUAGUAUAUAUUCACCAGUUCGGUCUAAAAAUCAUCUAAUUCUAGAACAACAAAACAAAUUACUUAUUUUACCAGUUCGGAUAAUAUUUGAAUCCGAAGGGGUAAUAUUCGAACCCGAAUGGAUAUCUGAAGAUAACCAAACUUAAGUAUACUUAACCCUAUAUUUAUAGUUUAUUUCUCUUAUUUUAUUCAAAAUAUUUAUAUUAAUGAUGCUUAUUGCUCAAAAUUAGAUAAUAUACAUAUAAUUAUGAACAAAAUCAUUUGCUACUCACUUAAAAUACAUAUCAAGCUCGUGUUUUUCGCAUUAACAAAAAAUACAUCUAAAAUUUCAAAACAAUAACUAAAUUAGUGUCUUUCUAGUAUUAUCUCAAACCUAUUAAUAGUUUAAUCUUCUAAAAAUUUUGAAAACCAGUUAAGUUAAAAUAUAUUUUAAAUACAAAAAACUUAAACAAUGAAUAAUUUUUUUUUCUUCAAAAUUUAAAUAUCUGAACCCGAAUAUAAAAUACAUGAACCCGACUCGAAGCGUAAAAAUACUCAAACGGGUUCUAUACCUUUAUACUGAUACCUGAUACGAACCCGAACGUGUAUCAGAACGCCCACCCCUACGAUAUAUGAUCAUUUGUAUCUUGCUUGAACAAAAAAAAAGUUAAACCAUUAAUCACAAAAUUUUUAAAGUGAGACUUUUACCAUUUUUCUGUAAUUUAUAGUUGUUUCAAAAAAUUCAAAAUAUAAUAUAUAAGAAAAAAUCUAAAUUUUUUUAUUAUAUGCUUAAUGUGAUUUUUUAUUUUCUUUUAAUAGUAUAAAAUUAAACAAAAAAGAAAGAGGUUAGAAAAAUUGUUAUUAAAUAUGUAUUAUUCAUAAUCAUUAAUUAUCAUAUAUAUGUUAAUCAUAUUAGGUAAUUUUGUAGCGUUUAUUUAAGGAAAGAAAAAUAUUCUUUUAUAUACUGCUAAUUAAUUUGUUAGUUAGUUUAAUAAAAAGCAUAGUAUAUGUUUAUAUGGACCAACUUAUUUGUCUAACAAUUUUAAGAAUCAUUCUCGUGAUGACACGUGGCUACGAAAACAUGUUGUAAUGCUCCAAGAUUAAUAUAUAGGGGAUUUGUCAAAACGAACGUGGAAAUACAAAAACCAGCAACUGAUUUUGAUUUAUAUUAUAAUAUAAGCUCAAUACUGGUUCAGUGUAUUAAUUGGUUUACUUAUUCUGGUUAGACCAAGCCUAUAUAUAAAGGCAUUUUACGUUGUAACAGAAACUUAACGAGAAUAAGAUUUUUUUUCAGUGUAACAAACUCUCUCUGCUCUCGAUUCUUUGAAGCUAACAUGGUAUCAGAGCGUUGAGUCAAAAGUUCAAUGAUCACAAUCUCCAGCUUCUGAUUCAUCGAUUCAUCAUCUUUUGUUCAUCUUCCGCUUCGAUCUCAUUUCACAAUGGUCACUCUUCGUCGUUCGACGCGACGAUCAGUCCGACUUGGCGGAUCAGCUGAAAAAUCAGCUAAUCCAGCUCGCACAUCUUCAUCAAACACCUUUCCGGUGCAAUCACAUCCUGAUCCACCUAUUCCGGUGACAAUAUCGGCGAAUCCAACACCAACGCAAGCUCCUAUUCCAUCAUUUCCGACUAUCAACACUUCAUCAGAUUCACUCGAUUUCGGAGGGAAUCAGUAUUCACCAUACUUUCUCACAAGCGAUGACAAUCCAGGAACGUCUUUAAUCUAUGAGGUACUCAAUGGAUCUAACUAUAAUACUUGGAACAUUGCGAUGGCUAUAGCUGCAGAUGAGAAGAACAAGAUUUUGUUUGUAGAUGGUUCGUUGCCUAGGCUUUCUGAAUGGCAUCCACAUUAUAGGAUCUGGUGAAGGUGUAACAGUAUGGUUAAAUCUUGGAUUAUGAAUUCUGUUACGAAGUCGAUCUAUGGAAGUAUCUUGAGGUUUAAUGAUGCAUCCGAGGUAUGGAAGGAUCUGAUAUCUUGGUUUCAUAUCACAAACUUACCUCGUUCCUAUCAGUUAACACAACAAUCUGAUCUCUCCAACAAGGUUCUUUGGAUCUUUCUUCCUAUUAUACGAAGCUCAAAAACUCUAUGGGAUGAUCUUGAUGGAGUAGAUUGUGUGAAAAUCUGUCAAUCUUGUGAGUGUUGUAAGGCUACAGCAAAGAAGAUAAAGCAUACGAAGGUUAUUAAAUUCUUGGCUGGCCUCAAUGACUCAUAUUUUAAUGCACGAGGUCAGAUCAUCAUGAAGAAACACGUUCCAGAUCUCUCAGAAGUGUAUAACCACAAUAUUGCUCCUCUACAGAAUGCAAGGGAAUAUUUUAGUGCACAAGGUCAGAUCAUCAUGAAGAAAACGCAUGUAAGUUAAGGUUGAUUAUGGUUAUAUUGCAGCUGAUUUAAACAACACGGCUAACUUAUGAGAUGUGGGCUAACUUACGAACAUAAAUCAGAUGUAAGUUACGGUUGAUUUAUGAUACCAUUCAAAUUACCGUAAGAAGUGAUUUAUACUCUCUCAAAUAAGAGAUCGAGUUGUAGUACUUAGGGAUCAAAUUCACAGGGAGCUAGGAAACCUAGGGAUUCUAAUAUGAUUUGUUAAGCAAGGAUGUUUUAAGAGUUUUUAAAAGUAAAUUGCAGUUUUAUAUUGAACAAGAGUUUGUUCAAUAGCAGAUGUUUGGGGUUUUGGUGCUUAAAAAAGAAAUAGCUAGACUUAGGGUUUUUAUUCAGGAAAGUUGAAAUUAUAACCCUAUAGAUGCUUAAUGAGUUGCAUGCAUGAUAAUGUAAAGCUCAACUAUUUGAUCAACAAGUCUUUCGGCCUUUGCGAGCAUUGACUUGUUGACUAUUAACUAGAUCUAUGAUCUCAACUCUCGUUAUAUUGAUCUAUAGAAAGUGUCGAUCGAUAUUCCAAUGGGCGUAUCGACCGAUACACCUUUUGCACCGUCGAUCGAUUAUUCAAGUAUGAUAUCGAUCGACGCGCUCUAGUCAAGCUUUAUGCGCAAGUUGAAUAAAUGCUUACCAAGCUCACUAGAUCAGCUCUCGCCUUGCUCAUAGCAAGAAACAAAGUUCAUUUAGAAUGUUUUCAGGAUGAGAAUUAGCUGUGGCUUUUAUCAAUCAAUCCUAGGACAAGUUCUAGGUAGCUAAUAUAGACACAUGCAUUAAUGAACAACUAGGUGGCCGGCCCGCACCCUGUGCGGACAUAAACAUAUUCAAAUUAUUAACUAAGUAGUACAUAGUUUUAUAGGUUACGAAUUUUAUAUCAUAAUACCACCGCCCUUGGGAGAAAGCAUCAGGUACAAAAAAAUGUUGGUACUCAAUAUUUUACAUGGAUGAAAUGGAACAAAGUAACUUUAGUAUCAAGAGGUAUUUAUUGUGUGUACGUAUAAUUGCAACGUUCCAAAAUAAUUUGUAUGUUUAAGAAGAUAUUUUAUUUUCAAAAUCUGGAAUAAAUAGUGUAUAGUUUCAGAGGUAACAUAUUUUAUAUUAUCACUACAUUCCCAUUGAAACCCUCUUUUACCAUUUCAAAAUGUAAUUAAGGACAUAAAAAUUCAAAAUAUGGAAUAAAAAGUUCAAAAUAUGUAAUAAAUAUGGAAUAAAUAAUGUUAGAAAUGGGUUGAGCAGAGAGAAGAUACGAAUUGCAGUCGGUGAUUUUCGAAUCAGACUCUGUCAGCUUAUCAAAACUAUUAACUCGGCGAUUAAAUAUACAGCUCUCUAUGGAGUGACUGCGGAUAUUGUAUCGCAUAUGCGGAUAUUUUAUCGCAUAUGCGGAUAUUAAUAUUAUGAUUAGUUUAAUUUUACAUGGUUAGUUAAUUUUUACAUACAAUGACAUGUGUAUGCAUAAUAUAUAUUAUAUGUAUAAUAAUCACAUAGUUAUGAUUCAUUAUUUGUGGUUGAAAACUAUAAAUCUUCUUAAUAUUAUUUAAUUCAAGAUAUAAUGCAAUCUACUUUGCUGUUAGUUUUUAUUUUUUAUUGUAAAAUAUACAAAUUACAUUCAUUAAUUUUUAAACUCUAAACUCUUGGUAAACCUUAAACUCUUGAAUAUACUCUAACCCUUUGGCUUUACCGGGUAAAUCAUAAACAAUAAACUCAAAUUUUUUGGAUAUACCGUAAACACUAAUCUCUCUCUCCCUCUCUCUCCCUCUCUCCCACUCUCCCACUCUCUCUCCCCUCUCCUCCUCCCUCCUCCCUCCCUCUCUCUCUCUCCAUCCCUCCCUCUCCCUCCCUCUCUCUCCCUCCCUCUCUCUCUCACCUAUUAAUAGUGAGAAAAAUGUCUUUAUUAUUGAUUUACAACAUUACAAUAUCGCGAAUUCCACAAAAGUAAAACAAAAAAAAUUAAUUAAUAGAAAAUCUAACAAAAGCCACAUCUUAACCAAUAGAAGAGUAUACUAUUGAUAACACGUUUCAAAACUUAAACAAUGUAAAUGAGCUUCCGUUCAAACGCAUGAUUGAUUCAAUCUCCGCCAAAGAUAAACUCUUAAUUUGAUCUUCUGAUAAACUCAAGCCUGAAAGAACAUGUAAAAAUUAAUUUGAUCUACUGACGUUGUCUUUUGAUAAAAACAUGAUAAGCUAAGAAGUAGAAUAUUCUUUAAUAAAUUCUCAAUAAAUCUUAUACUUAUAAGGUAAUAUUAUUUUUGGAAUAUCUUGUUAAUAAAGAUAAAUGAGAACAUCUCGUGAAUAGAUUGCACCAGAAUUUUGGUUGACAAGUCUCACCAUAAAAAUUAAGUUUUAAAUGCAUGAUUUUAGGAGAGAAAAUAUCUUGUCAAAUAAUUUCGUUUCUCUGACAUCUAAAAUAUUUAGUGAGUAUUUAAUGGAUUAAACAGAGAAAUGAUCUCAAAAAGAUGUUAUUUGAAUCGAGAAAACACAAAAGAUAAGUAAAAUGCUAGACUUUACUAAAAUAUUUAGCUUUCACAAUAAGCUAUGUAAUAGAAUGUUCUCAAAUUAAUUUUAAAAAUGUAUCUACCUAUAAGUUAGGAUUAUUUAUGGAAUAUAUUGUUACUAAAAUUACAUUUUAAAUA
Long non-coding RNA from Brassica rapa (field mustard), 6857 nucleotides. RefSeq lists it as uncharacterized. The record is from RefSeq and is a predicted model, not a curated record. Lineage: Eukaryota; Viridiplantae; Streptophyta; Magnoliopsida; Brassicales; Brassicaceae.